GCGGCAUAUCCAACAGAGGGGGAGAUUAAAGAGCCUGAAACAUCGAGUGACUGUGAAACAGCUCAGUCAGUCACAAUCUGCUACUGUAGUCAAGAUGAAGUGAGUGUGCGUUCCCCUUGUUAAUACACUGUAAAAUCUAAUAUUGUGUUUAAUUAAAAAUAUUAAAUAGGCUGAACUAAAUUUUUAUCAAUUUGUUAUUAGAACUCAAUUUAAGUAAGUUACCAGUACUUUUUAUGCAAAAACACUGAUCAACUCAAUUUAUUUGAGUUGUCUUAACUUAGAAAAACUAAGUAAGCUGGAAGUUUUGCUUCUCAGUGCGGAAGGAUGAAAGAUGUGUUUUGAAAAUGCCGCGUCACUACCGUCCUCCUCCCUCUCGGAUCAGUCCGCAUGUUCACGGUGCAUUUUUUCUGGACUAUGUUGAGCAAACCUGGAGAAGCGUCAGCUCAAGAUAUUAUUGUUGUCAUUGCUGUGGAUCUUUACCUGAUACACUGACUUGGCUCGGGACCAGCACUCCUGUUGUUGGACAGAAAGACAUCAACUCAGUCGUAUUUUGGUUUUCCAAUAUAUUAGCAACUGUCAGUGACAUUUAUAUUAAUCAGGCUGAACUUGAAUCAUACUUUAGAUCAGCCUGUUUUACUUAUUGUUUUAUUUGUGCUUUGGUUUGGGGAAGUUGUUUCUUUACUGAUCUUUUCCUGUCUUCUGUUAUUAGACUUGAGAUAUGACUGCACUAUGCUGUUGCUGGUGACCACAGUUAAUUCUACAAGACAUGCUGUGUAAGUAAACAAACAACAACAGUUUGGUCUGCAUUUCUUGAAAGAUCACAUCCCCCAAACUUAGUUUAGAGGGUCUACACUGUAUAUAGUGAAGUCUGCAAGUUUUCUAACAGCAAAAUCUGUUUUGUGCCCAAAAUCAUUUUGCACAUCAUUAGAAUGAAAGUUAUUGGCCAUGUUUGCAUAGCCCUUUUUAAAAUGAUGCUUUCAUGACAUUAUUGUGUGUUGGGUGGUGGUCAGGGCUAUGCAGACUGACAAUUUGGGACAUUGAAUGUCACCUCUCAGGUGGGGAAGGAGCCUGAGAUUGUUUAAAUUGGAGUCUGUUUUAUACCAAAUGCAGAAAAAAAAAUAUUUUAAGAAAGCAAUUAAGUUCGUGUUCCAAAAAAUAUGAUUGUUUGCUUGCAGGACAACAGGAGAGAUGAGUCCUCCGUCACAGAUGGUGUGGUCAGUGAAGAUGGUCGCCUGCAGGUUCAAGCUCAUUGCAUCUCCAACCCACAUCCACUGCCACUGUACUUAAGGGAAGUUAAAGACUUUCUUCUGCACCUACAUUUGGAUCACCUCGAUCCAUGACAGUCAUUCAGGCAGUAAUGCCUGGCCUGGAAACAAGCCAUCCUUAAAACAUUACAACAUUCCAGCUCAUGUGUUGGAAUGGAAAACAAAUGUGUUGUUUAAAUUAGAGACUGCACUUGUGACAGAACAAUAAAUAUAUUUUAUUUUGAUUAUUUAAGUGAUGUAAGUACAAAACAAACUUGUGGUAGGCCUAAACUUAUUUUCAGAAUAAUUAAAUCUGAGACUUUGUUUCAUUGUAAGAUUAUAACAGUGAUGGCAAUAUAAUUGUUUGUUGUUCAGCAGAACAGUGUCCAGUAUGUUGGCUGUUAUACUUUGUUGUGUUUGAAAAUAAAAGUUGGGCUGAUUUUAACAUCAUUACAAAAAGUGUUGUUAAUUAUUUUUAAUCAUUCAGGUUACCACAAAUUGUUUUUUCAUUUAGUUGAACUUGAAAUGUUUCUCAGUAGGUAAACAAUUAGUAUUGUACAGUCAGAAAUACCAAGUUAUUCUUAAUACUGCAGACUUGCAAUGAAUAAGUUGUCCUAACAGUCAUCUUAAGUAAGCUUUACUAAGUUUUUUUGAGUUCUGGAAACUAAAUAGGUUUUUACACUGUACUCAAAGUGAAUAAGUUGCCUUAACUUAGUCAUCUUAAGUAAACUUUACUCAAUUUUUUUGAGGCAACGGGUUUGCAUAGUUUUUUUGAGUUCUGGGAACUAACGAGGUUGUACAGUGUACUCAAAAUGAGUAGGUUUGCCUACCUUAAUUAUUUUAAGUAAACUUUACUCAUUUUUUUGAGUUCUGGGAACUAAUGAGGCUGUACAGUGUAAAUAGGAACUCCUUUCCACUGGACCUAAGGUAUCAAUACUAUUGAUACCUUUAAAAAGAAACCUCAAGACCCACCUUUACCUUUUUUUACCUUUAUUUAGUUUUAUAUCUUUAUACCAUUUCAGUUGUUGCAUCUUAUUCUGAAUUGUAAAUCACUUUAUGAAUUUCAUUCUGAAAAAGAACCUUGAGUUGGUGAAAUCAGCUGAUUUAUGUUCAUGGCUCAGGCUACGUCCACAUGUAUUUUUGUAAACGGAGAUUUUCUGUUCUCGUCUAAAAAAAACCAAAACAAAUCCCGUCAAUACAUGCAGUUUUGAAAAAAUAUCUCCAUCCACGUGUAAACGCAACAAACAAAGUCAAACGCUGUCAAGAACAUGCCAAAGCAACAGGUGGCGAUAUAAUCCUAACCAUGUAGAAAUGUUGGCCAAUCGGCCAGUCUGGAAGCCUGGGAGGGAAAGAGUAAACAAAGAUGGCGCAUAAAAGCAGUCUUUCUAAAUGGAGGGACAGUAACUGCGUGUAUAUGUACAAGUGUAAAAGCUGCAGAUAGUCAGAUUAACAGCAACAGUAUUUUGUCUAUAUCUGCCAUUGUAGAAAUUCAUCUCAUGUAAAAAAUAACGUGGCGCACAGCGUGACGUAAAAAAAACGCAAACCUUUCACGUUGCGUGACUAAAUCUGUUUUCCUCGUCCACAUGUAAACGCAAAAACAUGAAAAUCUCCACCCUUGCAGGAGUUUUUAAAAAAAAAAUCUCAGUUUUCAGCAUUCCAAAACACAGCGGACAAAAGGCCCAAAUGCAUAGAAAAAGCUCAGUUUUCAAAAAUACCCAUGUACGUGUCGACGUAGCCUCAGUCAAGAGUAAAAACUAGACUAAAUAUAGUACAGCAACCUGUACUAAUUGAAUAUUUGUUGGGGGGUUUUUGCAAAUACUUGCGGAGACCAACUCGUCGCCCGGAUGUUGAAGGUGUUGCAUGUUCAACCUCACAAGGUCAUUGCAUGGGUCUUCUUGUGGGUGGCAGUUUGUCUCCAAACAAUCAUAACCCAACUCGAACUGGUUGCAAUCACUGCUAGACAGAUCAGUGAACGUCUAACUUAAUUGCUGUAUUAUCACAAACAGAUAAUUAUGUAGGAGUGGCAUGGUAAAGAUUAGCACCAUCGCCUCACAGAAAGAAAGCCCUUGAUUUGAAUCCACUGUCCGGCUAGCACCUUUCUAGGUGGACUUUGCUUAUUCUCCCCAAUGUCUAUGUGGGUUCUCUCAGGUACACAGGACUCCUCCCACAGCCUAAAAGCGUGUAUGGUAGGUUAAUUGGUGAUUUGAUUUUAAAUUGGUUGUGAAUAGUUAACUCUCUUUUUGCAAUAGAUAGGCUACUUGUCCAAAGUGUACCCUGCACCUCACCCUGCGGGAGCUGAGAUGGACUCCAGCUCUGUAACCCUGAAAAGCAAGAGAAAAAAGAUGGAUGGAGAUUGCAUGUAAUUGCUAACCUGACCCCAUUCAUUAGCAGAAUGAUUCUAUCUUAUUGCUGUUUUAUUGCAGACUUGAUGAACCAAAGUUGCAACUCACUGCGAGUGGUCAUAGACCAGGUCCCCGUGAUAAAAGCUAUGCUAAAUGCAUGAAGGUUGCAAGUUUAUUGCACACAUUUGCAAUAACUUUUGCCGUACCAGCCACUGUUUUCCUAAUGUGAGUGUAGCACUACGCACUGAAAGCUACUUGGUUAAGCUUUGGCAAUAAAACCUCGGCUCCAAACCUGUUUGGCACGAGACCGGAUUGAAAAAGUACACGUAUCUAAAGAACUCUAUGAAAAAUUUACCCUUCAUAAACUUAAUUUACGACCUCAGUAAACACUUCCCUCAUAAGUUUAUGGCCUUAGCCGCUAAAGUUUCACUGAAGUCAGACUGAUAUUUAUUUUGUGUCAGAAGUGUUAUCUUAUUGGCACUUUGGUGAAAAUGAACCUUGAAGUACUGACGAAGCAGUGCACACAAUAGAACAGCUGCUCCUCUGCUGUCUGUGCUUGCUAACAAGGUGCUUGAUGCACUAAUGCUUCCAUUUAAACUGUCACACUUUUUCAGAAAACAGGACAAAACUGACCAACCACAAAGUAAAAAUGAGUCUGCCGUGGUUACAAACAUCAAUGCACACCUGCAUAUAUUAGACACCCAGGCGUUCUUUUAACUAGAUAUAUUGGAGUCAACAAGCAGCUGUAGCAUGGAUACAGUAAAGCUAAACAGGAGCUCUUCCAGGAGCACCAAGGUGCUGGUGAACUCACCUGUGCAGCACAAACCCUGCCUGAUCGCUCAUCCUCCGGCCCACUGAGAGCUUUCAGAGAGCUGUUGCUGCUCUGCAGACUCACAAAUGGCAAACAGGAAGGAGCUGCACACGAUUCAGGAUCCAGCGUGUGUCUGUGGACCAGGCGGCAGCGUGGGUGUGUUUGAUUAAGGCCACUGGACACGCAUGUUGAGCAGAGGACCAAUUUUGUCAUCCAUGGCUAAUAAUGAAUGUCCCACAGCUGAUAUUUUGAUAUUGUGAGCUGAUCUCAGGUCGCAUGUUAAUGGGACUAAAUGUUGUCACAUAGGACUUUAAUAGUAAUUUGCUGACUUCUGAAUCCAAUGGUACACACACACGAAAAGCUUGUUUUCAUUGAGCUGGAUUUACUAACAAUUCAUCUGAUAAACAACAUCUCAGUUAGAAUUUCAACAUCCAGGAACAGUGUGUACCAUUUAAAAGGUGACCACAUUAAAAUGUGGUCAGACGGAUGAAUUAUUGGAAGCAGGUCACCAGCUGUCAGCUCAGAGAGGAAACCUCACUAAGCCUCUGAUUCUUUUUAAGACCUCAGACAGAAUCCACCAACAUUAGGACUUUCAACAUUUCUUAAGCCUGCACCUUUCUGUCAUCUCAGAAGCCACACUGACGCUCAAACGCACACAUUAAAGCGAGUGUUUGUGGGCGACUCAUCGGAGGAGAAGUGUGGAGGACAGAUUUCUGCUGGAAAUUAUGGUUUAAUAUUUAAACAGCUGUGCUCCUUAUCGCAGGGAGGAUAACAUGAGCAGUGAACAUGUGCAAUCACGGCGCUGUUGUUUCUCUCUCAUUUAACAGCAUAUCAGCACUGCGUGUGAAACCAACAUUUGCUUUUCAAGGACACAUUUUCAACUUGGAGACCAAAAUAACACUAAAACUGAAGCUUGUAGAAGAACUUUCAGAGCCAAAACUUUAUGAACACAGUACCAGCUACUUCUGGUGUGUAGAUUCACAGUUACAGUAUAAAGAAGACAGAUUCUUGUGUAGCUUCCUUAUAAUCACCAAAGUUAUAAGAAAAAUGUUAAAGACUAGUGAGACACACAAAUACAUAUACUGUAUACAUAACAACUAAAUAAUGUUAAAUUAAAU
Molecule: long non-coding RNA, 5515 nt
Organism: Oreochromis niloticus (Nile tilapia)
Lineage: Eukaryota; Metazoa; Chordata; Actinopteri; Cichliformes; Cichlidae
Source: Ensembl